GGGGCUGAUUCUGGAUUCGACGGGAUUUGCGAAACCCAAGGUGCAUGCCGAGGGGCGGUUGGCCUCGUAAAAAGCCGCAAAAAAUAGUCGCAAACGACGAAAACUACGCUUUAGCAGCUUAAUAACCUGCUUAGAGCACUCUCUCCCUAGCCUCCGCUCUUAGGACGGGGAUCAAGAGAGGUCAAACCCAAAAGAGAUCGCGUGGAAGCCCUGCCUGGGGUUGAAGCGUUAAAACUUAAUCAGGCUAGUUUGUUAGUGGCGUGUCCGUCCGCAGCUGGCAAGCGAAUGUAAAGACUGACUAAGCAUGUAGUACCGAGGAUGUAGGAAUUUCGGACGCGGGUUCAACUCCCGCCAGCUCCACCA
This 363-nucleotide transfer-messenger RNA is filed under the name Escherichia coli. It matches the Rfam family "transfer-messenger RNA". Rfam says of the family: Bacterial tmRNA, also known as 10Sa RNA or SsrA, is named for its dual tRNA and mRNA-like properties. Lineage: Bacteria; Pseudomonadati; Pseudomonadota; Gammaproteobacteria; Enterobacterales; Enterobacteriaceae. The record is from RNAcentral. RNAcentral also lists the same sequence under 1 other name.